Molecule: ribosomal RNA, 433 nt
Filed under: uncultured bacterium
Lineage: Bacteria
Description: partial 16S ribosomal RNA
Rfam family: Bacterial small subunit ribosomal RNA
Source: RNAcentral
AGCGAACGCUGGCGGCAGGCCUAACACAUGCAAGUCGAACGAACUCUUCGGAGUUAGUGGCGGACGGGUGAGUAACACGUGGGAACGUGCCUUUAGGGUCGGAAUAACUCAGGGAAACUUGUGCUAAUACCGAAUGUGCCCUUCGGGGGAAAGAUUUAUUGACUUUCGAGCGGCCCGCGUCUGAUUAGCUAGUUGGUGAGGUAAAGGCUCACCAAGGCGACGAUCAGUAGCUGGUCUGAGAGGAAGAUCAGCCACAUUGGGAGUGAGACGCGGCCCAAACUCCUACGGGAGGCAGCAGUGGGGAAUCUUGCGCAAUGGGCGAAAGCCUGACGCAGCCAUGCCGCGUGAAUGAUGAAGGUCUUAGGAUUGUAAAAUUCUUUCACCGGGGACGAUAAUGACGGUACCCGGAGAAGAAGCCCCGGCUAACUUCGUG